GGUGGUCUAGAUUUUUUUCCCUCUGGUUGCACAUUUAACAUGCGGAUAGAAAUGAGGUACAACUGAUUUAAGUUUCCCUGCAUUAAAGUCCCCGGCCACUAGAAGCGCAGCCUCUGGAUGAGCUUUUCCUCUUUGCUUUUUGGCGGAAUACAGCUAAUUGAGUGCGGUUUGAGUGCCAGCUUAGGUCUGUAGAUAGCUACGAAAAAUACAGAUGAAAUCUCUCGAGGUAGAUAGUGUAGUCUACAGCUUAUCAUGAGAUACUCUACCUCAGGCGAGCAAAACCCUGAGACUUCCUUAGAUAUCGUGCACCAGCUAUUGUUUACAAAUAUGCACAGGCCCCCGCCCAUGUCUUACCAGAGGCUGCGAUUCUGUCCUGCCAAUAGAGUGUAUAAUCUGCCAGCAGUAUGUUCUUAAUGUCGGCGUUCAGCCACGACUCUGUGAAACAUAAGAUAUUACAGUUUUUAAUGUCCUGUUGGUAUGAUAUAUGUGCUUUCAGUUGAUCUAAUUUAUUUUCCAGCGAUUGAACGUUAGCUAGCUAGCAGAAUGGAAGGCAAGGGCAGAUUAGCCACUCGUCGCCUGAUCCUCACAAGGCAUCCUGAUCUCUUUCCGCGAAACCUACGUUUCCUUUUCCAGCGAAUCACGGGGAUCUGGGCCUGGUCGGGUGUGCGUUGUAUAUCCCUCGCGUCCGACUCAUUGAAGAAAAACUCCUCGUCCAAUUUUAGGUGAGUAAUCCCAGUUUUGAUGUCGAGAAGCUCUUUUCGGUCAUAGGAGAAGGUAGCAGCAGCUUUAUGUACAAAACAAGUAAAGAACACCGCAUUAAAAAAAUAGCAUGGUUGUUUAAGAGCCGAUAAGACGGCAGCCCUCCGUCGCCAUCUUCAUUAGCUGCCUUGGUAGCAGCUAAUGGGGGUCCAUAAAAAAUACAAAUACACAAUAAAUUGUAUUUGACUGAUAUUGUUUUUCAUUCGUUCUAUUCAUGUGUUCCAUUUCUAUGUCAGUCCUGGUGAUUCUGUAAGUGUAACACACCAUAAGUUAAUUGAACAUGGUCCCAGCCCUCCUUUUACCACAGUGGAACCACAGCCUGUGGGACAUGCUCCAUCUUGCCCUUACAAUAAAUCUCUAACCAUUUAGGUCAACAAGUCCAACAGACCAUCCAGAUCUGCGGUUUCUGGAGGGAAUCCAGGAAAUAACCAUCUAAUCAUUUGUUGUGUAACACCAUAUAUAUUGCGAAAUAGGACGAACUGAAAGUGUCUCUGAAAGUAAUAUAUGGAAAUAUGUUCCAUUUCAGUAAUGCAAUAUGAAUACAAAGAGGGAACUGUAGAUUAUAAAGAGACAAAUAAAAUGUUCACACUAGUGUGAAUCUAAUGAACCUAAACAUUCAGUUUCGUUUUGCUUCAGUUGUCAUAUUCUUUUGCCACCUGUGUGUUCACUAAUCAAGGUUAAUGCAGCUUAGCUCCACACUGGAUCUAUAGACAUAAUUUAUGAACAUUUUGGAAAUGCAGUGAGAAAUUAAAACAACAACACAGUUGGACAUAUUAUUGUUCUGACAUGAACAUUGCUACACCUCACCGAACACAUCAAACAUGGAUGUCCUUGUAAGACCAGCCGAGUAUAGUGCAGUUUAUGCUCUUUUGGGUCAGACUUCCACACAGGACAGUGGGAUUGAUCAGUGUAGUUCUCAGCUGUGCUGUGGGAAGACAUGGCUGACAUUUUAAACAACGGAACAUCACAUCAUGGGCUUCUGGUAGACAUGUGUUGAACAUCACAUCAUGGGUUUCUGGUAGACAGGUGUUGAACAUCACAUCAUGGGUUUCUGGUAGACAGGUGUUGAACAUCACAUCAUGGGCUUCUGGUAGACAUGUGUUGAACAUCACAUCAUGGGUUUCUGGUAGACAGGUGUUGAACAUCACAUCAUGGGUUUCUGGUAGACAGGUGUUGAACAUCACAUCAUGGGUUUCUGGUAGACAGGUGUUGAACAUCACAUCAUGGGCUUCUGGUAGACAGGUGUUGAACAUCACAUCAGGGGCUUCUGGUAGACAGGUGUUGAACAUCACAUCAUGGGCUUCUGGUAGACAGGUGUUGAACAUCACAUCAUGGGCUUCUGGUAGACAGGUGUUGAACAUCACAUCAUGGGCUUCUGGUAGACAGGUGUUGAACAUCACAUCAUGGGCUUCUGGUAGACAGGUGUUGAACAUCACAUCAUGGGCUUCUGGUAGACAGGUGUUGAACAUCACAUCAUGGGCUUCUGGUAGACAGGUGUUGAACAUCACAUCAUGGGCUUCUGGUAGACAGGUGUUGGACAUCAAUCAUAUCAGGGGCUUCUGGUAGACAGGUGUUGAACAUCAUAUCAUGGGCUUCUGGUAGACAGGUGUUGAACAUCACAUCAUGGGCUUCUGGUAGACAGGUGUUGAACAUCACAUCAUGGGCUUCUGGUAGACAGGUGUUGAACAUCACAUAAUGGGCUUCUGGUAGACAGGUGUUGAACAUCACAUCAUGGGCUUCUGGUAGACAGGUGUUGGACAUCACAUCAUGGGCUUCUGGUAGACAGGUGUUGAACAUCACAUCAGGGGCUUCUGGUAGACAGGUGUUGAACAGCUCAUCAUGGGCUUCUGGUAGACAGGUGUUGGA
Long non-coding RNA from Oncorhynchus keta (chum salmon), 2625 nucleotides. RefSeq lists it as uncharacterized. The transcript is spliced from 3 exons. Lineage: Eukaryota; Metazoa; Chordata; Actinopteri; Salmoniformes; Salmonidae. The record is from RefSeq and is a predicted model, not a curated record.